Selaginella moellendorffii is the source of this 464-nucleotide long non-coding RNA. RefSeq lists it as uncharacterized. Lineage: Eukaryota; Viridiplantae; Streptophyta; Lycopodiopsida; Selaginellales; Selaginellaceae. The record is from RefSeq and is a predicted model, not a curated record. The transcript has 3 exons.
GCAUCGCAAUGAUCAGGGAUUGCUCUACAAAAGGCUGAAACACCACCGUUACUACCACGGCCACAACGACCACCACCGUCGAGAAAAAUGAUCAGAUGCUAGAUUCCACCAUCGAAGCAGAGCCCAUAGUAGAGGAGCUCGUACAAGUGGAGAUCAAGGACACUAUUGUGGCAGAACUACCGGAGGUUCCAGUCGAUGUCUUUCUUUUCGUUCGAUGAAGCAGAAGAGUUUUCGCCGUCUUCACUCUUCUCGGGGGAUCAAGGUCAAAGCAAGAGGUCAAUGAAGAGGAGGCCUCUCUCUUUGAUGUUUUGUGGCUGCUCUUGGCAAGCGUGGUCUUUGUUCCCGUUUUUCAAAAGGUUCCUGGAGGAAGUCCUGUCCUAGGGUAUUUGGCCGCUGGGGUGCUAAUUGGUCCGCACUCGCUCCAUCUAAUCCGAAAUGUACACAGAACCAAAGCUAUUGCUGAA